Molecule: ribosomal RNA, 630 nt
Filed under: uncultured bacterium
Lineage: Bacteria
Description: bacterial SSU rRNA
Rfam family: Bacterial small subunit ribosomal RNA
Source: RNAcentral
AUUUCGGUAUGGGAUGGGGAUGCGUUCCAUUAGUUAGUUGGCGGGGUAACGGCCCACCAAGACAACGAUGGAUAGGGGUUCUGAGAGGAAGGUCCCCCACAUUGGAACUGAGACACGGUCCAAACUCCUACGGGAGGCAGCAGUGAGGAAUAUUGGUCAAUGGACGAGAGUCUGAACCAGCCAAGUAGCGUGAAGGAUGACUGCCCUAUGGGUUGUAAACUUCUUUUAUAUGGGAAUAAAAUGUUCCACGUGUGGGAUUUUGUAUGUACCAUAUGAAUAAGGAUCGGCUAACUCCGUGCCAGCAGCCGCGGUAAUACGGAGGAUCCGAGCGUUAUCCGGAUUUAUUGGGUUUAAAGGGAGCGUAGGUGGAUUGUUAAGUCAGUUGUGAAAGUUUGCGGCUCAACCGUAAAAUUGCAGUUGAAACUGGCAGUCUUGAGUACAGUAGAGGUGGGCGGAAUUCGUGGUGUAGCGGUGAAAUGCUUAGAUAUCACGAAGAACUCCGAUUGCGAAGGCAGCUCACUGGACUGCAACUGACACUGAGGCUCGAAAGUGUGGGUAUCAAACAGGAUUAGAUACCCUGGUAGUCCACACAGUAAACGAUGAAUACUCGCUGUUUGCGAUAUACUGCAA